UGCGCAGGAAAGACCCUUGAGCGGGUGGGAGGCGGCUUGGGGGCGCGCCCGCGGAUUGGCGGGCACAGCCUGGUCCGGCGUCGGGGCGAAGGACGGCCGCCUGGGGGAGCACGCCGGAAGUGGCCGGCCGCCGCGGUCACGAUGUCCAGGGUGGUGGCGCCGCGCCGGAGGGAGGAGCUGGGGCUGAUCGCUGGCGGCCGUGCAGGUGGCCACGGUCGAGCGGGAGGCUAGGGGUGGCCUGGAGAUUUUCCUCCUGCGUUCCUGACCCACUGAUUCAUUGGCUUCUCAGAAGUUUUCUCCUGGGUGCCACACAGCUGCCAGUGUUCCUCAGCCAGGUACCAGGUGGAAGACAACCUAAAUGAUCUGCCAGCACUGUUUCUUCUUUAGCAUCUUCCCCUGCCACUCUGAUAUGUCAGACUAGAUCUCUAUGGGACAGUCCCUGCUUCUGUCACCCGCCUCCACGCCAUGGCUCUAGAUCUCUUCACUCUAAUUAGAAGAUCACUGACCAUGCCUUUCAAGAUAUGAUACUUUGGGAGACAUCUUUAUAUGACCCUUUUUUUGAAGAUGGAGUUCACCUCAUUUGUCAUUCUUUUAACUGUUUUCAGUGGGUUUUGAGAAAUGCCUUUUCCAUCUUUUAAACUGUUUCUAAAUUUUGAAC
Long non-coding RNA from Balaenoptera ricei (Rice's whale), 658 nucleotides. RefSeq lists it as uncharacterized. Lineage: Eukaryota; Metazoa; Chordata; Mammalia; Artiodactyla; Balaenopteridae. The transcript has 3 exons. The record is from RefSeq and is a predicted model, not a curated record.